Molecule: ribosomal RNA, 742 nt
Filed under: Alkalicoccobacillus gibsonii
Lineage: Bacteria; Bacillati; Bacillota; Bacilli; Caryophanales; Bacillaceae
Description: bacterial SSU rRNA
Rfam family: Bacterial small subunit ribosomal RNA
Source: RNAcentral
UGCUAUACAUGCAAGUCGAGCGGACGUUUUUGAAGCUUGCUUCAAAAACGUUAGCGGCGGACGGGUGAGUAACACGUGGGCAACCUACCUUAUCGACUGGGAUAACUCCGGGAAACCGGGGCUAAUACCGGAUAACAUCUAGCACCUCCUGGUGCCGGAUUAAAAGAGGGCUUCUUGCUCUCACGAUGAGAUGGGCCCGCGGCGCAUUAGCUAGUUGGAGAGGUAACGGCUCCCCAAGGCGACGAUGCGUAGCCGACCUGAGAGGGUGAUCGGCCACACUGGGACUGAGACACGGCCCAGACUCCUACGGGAGGCAGCAGUAGGGAAUCUUCCGCAAUGGACGAAAGUCUGACGGAGCAACGCCGCGUGAGUGAUGAAGGGUUUCGGCUCGUAAAGCUCUGUUAUGAGGGAAGAACACGUACCGUUCGAAUAGGGCGGUACCUUGACGGUACCUCAUCAGAAAGCCACGGCUAACUACGUGCCAGCAGCCGCGGUAAUACGUAGGUGGCAAGCGUUGUCCGGAAUUAUUGGGCGUAAAGCGCGCGCAGGCGGCCUUUUAAGUCUGAUGUGAAAUCUUGCGGCUCAACCGCAAGCGGCCAUUGGAAACUGGGAGGCUUGAGUACAGAAGAGGAGAGUGGAAUUCCACGUGUAGCGGUGAAAUGCGUAGAUAUGUGGAGGAACACCAGUGGCGAAGGCGACUCUCUGGUCUGUAACUGACGCUGAGGCGCGAAAGCGUGGGGAG